This 484-nucleotide ribosomal RNA is filed under the name uncultured bacterium. RNAcentral describes it as "partial 16S ribosomal RNA". It matches the Rfam family "Bacterial small subunit ribosomal RNA", at positions 30 to 507 of the family's 1533-position model. The record is from RNAcentral.
AUUGAACGCUGGCGGCAGGCCUAACACAUGCAAGUCGAGCGGACGAAGGGAGCUUGCUCCUGGAUUCAGUGGCGGACGGGUGAGUAAUGCCUAGGAAUCUGCCUGGUAGUGGGGGAUAACGUCCGGUAACAGGCGCUAAUAUCGCAUACGUCCUGAGGUAGAACGUGGGGGAUCUUCGGACCUCACGCUAUCAGAUGAGCCUAGGUCGGAUUAGCUAGUUGGUGGGGUAAAGGCCUACCAAGGCGACGAUCCGUAACUGGUCUGAGAGGAUGAUCAGUCACACUGGAACUGAGACACGGUCCAGACUCCUACGGGAGGCAGCAGUGGGGAAUAUUGGACAAUGGGCGAAAGCCUGAUCCAGCCAUGCCGCGUGUGUGAAGAAGGUCUUCGGAUUGUAAAGCUCUUUAAGUUGGGAGGAAGAGAAGUAUGUUAAUCCCUUGCUGUUUUGACGUUACCAACAGAAUAAGCACCGGCUAACUUCGUG